Mustela putorius furo (domestic ferret) is the source of this 329-nucleotide unclassified non-coding RNA. Its record names the gene 7SK. It matches the Rfam family "7SK RNA". Rfam says of the family: 7SK was discovered as an abundant small nuclear RNA in the mid-70s but a possible function has only recently been suggested. Two independent studies have found that 7SK RNA binds the CDK9/cyclin T complex (known as elongation factor P-TEFb). The record is from Ensembl. NCBI's taxonomy places the organism in Eukaryota, Metazoa, Chordata, Mammalia, Carnivora, Mustelidae.
GAAUGUGAGGGUAAUCUGUCUGUGACAGCUGUCACCCCAGUUAUCUCUAGGUUUGAUUUGACUGAUCUGGCUGCCCGGUGGGUAUCCCUUCCUCUCUCACCACUCUGUGUGUGUCCCUCCUGAGGCUGUUCGCUUGGUGGAAGAGGACAAUCUUCCCCAACAGAGGAGGAACAUUCUUCUGUGAAGUGUAGAGGAGUAACUUUGCUCCCCUGCUAAAAUCUCAAAACAGGUUCUCAGGGUCCAUUUAUAGAAGAAUGUAGGCUAGUCAAACUUCCAAGACUCCGGACACAUCCAAAUGAGGCACUGUAUGUGACAGUCUUUCUUUCUUC